This is a long non-coding RNA of Terrapene triunguis (Three-toed box turtle), 909 nucleotides long. RefSeq lists it as uncharacterized. NCBI's taxonomy places the organism in Eukaryota, Metazoa, Chordata, Testudines, Emydidae. The transcript has 2 exons. The record is from RefSeq and is a predicted model, not a curated record.
GGGAGCGACAGAGCUCGGCUUUAAUACGGUUUUUGACGCUGUUUCCCAUGACCUCAUAAGCACACACGAGUAAUAGAGCCUCCAGGAGCCUACGGGUGCAGGACUGGUUGGAGACCCGCUCCCAGAGAGUAGGUACCAGUGGAAUCGCAGAGCGAGUGGGGUCCCGCGGGGAUCUGCCCUGGGUCCGGUUCUAGUCAAUAUGGUCAUAAAUGAUUUGGCUAAUGACAGAGAGAGAGCGCUGAUAACGUAUGCGGAUGUUACCAAAUGGAGGGGUUGCAGGAUGAAAUUCAAUAAGAACAAAUGUGAAGUGCUCCCCUUAGGAAGGAGCAGUCAGUUGCACACACGAUGGGCAGCGACUGCCGAGGAAGCAGGACUGCAGGAAGGGAUCUGGGGGUGCUAGUGGAUCUCCGACUAAAAAGGAGUCAAUAAUACAAGACUGGUGCAAAAAACCCCCAACAUUCUGGGAUGUAACAGAGUUGGGAAUUUUUCAUACGAUUUUGGAUGAAUAAUGUGUGCCUCAGUUUCCCCCAUGGGCUGCAUGGUUAACGGCGGGGUGGGGGGAAGGUUUACUCUUUGCGGAAGUGGCUGAUGCCUGGCUGUCUGGGGCCCGGAGAGGACAAUGGCCACUCCAACUGCCCAGCCCUUUGGUACCUAGCAAAUAACGACCAUGGAUGGCCCAUCCUCUGCGGGAAGCCAGCCAGUAGUGACCAACUGGAGGACAAAGUAUGGAGGGGGGCUUGUUGAGUUCUUACGUGUGGGCUGCUGGAAGCAGGGUUCCCUCUUCUGGACUGGAGGUCAGACAGGGCUCUGGGCUCAGGACUGGCCCGGAUGGACUAUGCUGUAACUCUGUAUGUGAACUAAGAACGUCCUACACUCUGUUCCAGACAUCUAAUAAACCCUUCUGUUUUA